UCAAAUAUUAGAAAAAACGUAGAGGAAGAUCACCAAUACUGACAUAGGUCUUCUAAAGCGACAUCUCCUUAUUUCUUAGAAACUAAC
Molecule: long non-coding RNA, 87 nt
Organism: Mycetomoellerius zeteki
Lineage: Eukaryota; Metazoa; Arthropoda; Insecta; Hymenoptera; Formicidae
Exons: 3
Source: RefSeq, a predicted model, not a curated record